GAUGAACGCUAGCGGGAGGCUUAACACAUGCAAGUCGAGGGGUAAAGAGUAGCAAUACUUUGAGACCGGCGGACGGGUGCGUAACGCGUAUGCAACUUACCUUAUGCAGGAGGAUAGCCCGGGGAAACCCGGAUUAAUAUUCCAUAGAUCAGCAGGGUCACAUGGUCCAACUGGUAAAGAUUCAUCGGCAUAAGAUAGGCAUGCGUCUGAUUAGCUGGUUGGUAGGGUAACGGCCUACCAAGGCGACGAUCAGUAGGGGUUCUGAGAGGAUUAACCCCCACACUGGUACUGAGACACGGACCAGACUCCUACGGGAGGCUG
RNAcentral lists this ribosomal RNA (321 nucleotides) under uncultured Bacteroidota bacterium. RNAcentral's name for it is "bacterial SSU rRNA". It matches the Rfam family "Bacterial small subunit ribosomal RNA", at positions 28 to 351 of the family's 1533-position model. The record is from RNAcentral. Lineage: Bacteria; Pseudomonadati; Bacteroidota.